UACGGAGGGGGCUAGCGUUGUUCGGAAUUACUGGGCGUAAAGCGCACGUAGGCGGUUAUUCAAGUCAGAGGUGAAAGCCCGGGGCUCAACCCCGGAACAGCCUUUGAAACUAGAUAGCUAGAAUCACGGAGAGGUGGGUGGAAUUCCGAGUGUAGAGGUGAAAUUCGUAGAUAUUCGGAAGAACACCAGUGGCGAAGGCGGCCCACUGGACGUGUAUUGACGCUGAGGUGCGAAAGCGUGGGGAGCAAACAGG
Molecule: ribosomal RNA, 253 nt
Filed under: uncultured bacterium
Lineage: Bacteria
Description: partial 16S ribosomal RNA
Rfam family: Bacterial small subunit ribosomal RNA
Source: RNAcentral